GAUGAACGCUGGCUACAGGCUUAACACAUGCAAGUCGUUGGGAAACGCCUGCGCAGCUUGCUUCCCCGGGCGUCGACCUGCGCACUGGUUAUUAACUCCUAUCCAACUUGCCUCUGACUGCUGGCUACCCCUUCGCAUGUCGGCCUACUACCUCAUGCUAUCGUCUGCGUGCAUCCCACGACGAUUAAACCUUUCUUCGGUUAGGUAUGGGUAGGCGUCUGAUUAGCUUGUUGGCGGGGUAACGGCCCAUCAAGGCUACGUUCAGUAGGUGUUCUGAGAGGAAGGGCACACACGGUGGAACUGAGACACGGUCCAAACGCAUAAGGGAGGCAGCAGUGAGGAAUAUUGGUCAAUGGACGAGAGCCUGAACCAGCCAAGUAGCGUGCAGGAAGACAGGCCUAUGGGUUGUAAACUGAUUUUAUGCGGGGAUAAAGUGAGGGACGUGUCCCUAAUUGCAGGUACCGCAUGAAUAAGGACCGGCUAAUUCCGUG
This 491-nucleotide ribosomal RNA is filed under the name uncultured bacterium. RNAcentral describes it as "partial 16S ribosomal RNA". It matches the Rfam family "Bacterial small subunit ribosomal RNA", at positions 28 to 507 of the family's 1533-position model. The record is from RNAcentral.